CGCUUCCGAGGAGCGUUGCGACGGUUUCCGCUGCAGGAAAUCGCCAGGCUCGGAGCAUUCAAUCCGGACGGUUCGAAAGCGCGAUCAGCGCACUCUGAGCCGCCGCAUCGAACGGCGCUCACGUCAA
RNAcentral lists this non-coding RNA (127 nucleotides) under Burkholderia humi (ex Srinivasan et al. 2013). RNAcentral describes it as "Burkholderia humi SAH sequence". It matches the Rfam family "SAH (S-adenosyl-L-homocysteine) riboswitch aptamer". The record is from RNAcentral. Lineage: Bacteria; Pseudomonadati; Pseudomonadota; Betaproteobacteria; Burkholderiales; Burkholderiaceae.